Molecule: unclassified non-coding RNA, 310 nt
Filed under: Nitrosovibrio tenuis
Lineage: Bacteria; Pseudomonadati; Pseudomonadota; Betaproteobacteria; Nitrosomonadales; Nitrosomonadaceae
Description: Long range pseudoknot
Source: RNAcentral
ACGGAUGACGGCGAUUAUGCCAUCAAGCUGCGCAACCUGAUCAGUUUUCUGGAAGAGGGAGAUAAAGCCAAAAUCACGUUACGUUUCCGCGGUCGUGAAAUGGCGCAUCAGGAAUUCGGUAUACGCCUGCUGGAGCGCGUAAGGACGGAUUUGGAACCCUAUGCGGUGGUUGAGCAAUUUCCGCGGAUGGAAGGCAGGCAGAUGGUAAUGGUGCUAUCCCCGAAGAAGAAAGAGGUAAAGAUAGUCAAGCCUAAGGAAUCCAAGCCAAAAAUGGUUGGGGAGAACGGAGAAAACGGGGUUGUGGCGCAGA